GACGAACGCUGGCGGCGCGCCUAACACAUGCAAGUUGAGCGACGAACCAGGGCUUGCCCUGGGGCAAAGCAGCGAACGGGUGAGUAACACGUGGGUAGCCUACCCCGAUAACCGGGACAACCCGAGGAGACUCGGGCUAAUACCGGAUGUGCUCACUGGACUUCGGUUCAGUGCGUAAAGGAAGCUUCGGCCUCCGUAUCGGGAGGGGCCCGCGGCCCAUUAGUUUGUUGGUGAGGUAACGGCUCACCAAGACCGCGAUGGGUAGCUGGUCUGAGAGGACGAGCAGCCAGACUGGGACGGAGACACGGCGCAGGCUCCUACGGGAGGCAGCGGUGGGGAAUCUUGCGCAAUGCGCGAAAGCGUGACGCAGCAACGCCGCGUGGGGGAAGAAGGCCUUCGGGUUGUAAACCCCUUUCAGGAGGGACGAAGGUUCGGCAGUUAACAGCUGUCCGGACUGACGGUACCUCCACAAGAAGCCCCGGCUAACUACGUGCCAGCCGCCGCCGUAA
Molecule: ribosomal RNA, 509 nt
Filed under: uncultured bacterium
Lineage: Bacteria
Description: partial 16S ribosomal RNA
Rfam family: Bacterial small subunit ribosomal RNA
Source: RNAcentral